Molecule: ribosomal RNA, 274 nt
Filed under: uncultured bacterium
Lineage: Bacteria
Description: partial 16S ribosomal RNA
Rfam family: Bacterial small subunit ribosomal RNA
Source: RNAcentral
AUACGGAGGGUGCGAGCGCUGUUCGGAAUUAUUGGGCGUAAAGAGCAUGUAGGCGGUCUGUUAAGUCUGGUGUGAAAGCCCGGGGCUCAACCCCGGAAGUGCAUUGGAUACUGGCAGACUUGAGUAUGGGAGAGGAAAGCGGAAUUCCGAGUGUAGGAGUGAAAUCCGUAGAUAUUCGGAGGAACACCAGUGGCGAAGGCGGCUUUCUGGACCAAUACUGACGCUGAGAUGCGAAAGCGUGGGGAGCAAACAGGAUUAGAAACCCCGGUAGUCC